This 7488-nucleotide long non-coding RNA is filed under the name Populus tremula. Its description in RNAcentral is "long non-coding RNA (PTRE_LNC000408)". Lineage: Eukaryota; Viridiplantae; Streptophyta; Magnoliopsida; Malpighiales; Salicaceae. The record is from RNAcentral.
AAUAAAUAAAUAAAUAAUUUACUACUUUGUUAAGAGAAAUGGGCAACCCAUCAAAAAUUCCAAUCUUAUCCUUUUGCUUUAACAACAGUUUUACACCUUACUCAUACCAGCAAGGCCCUUUAUUUUACUUUUGACUUUUGAUAAAGACUCAAUCCCUAAACCAGAUAUAUAUUAAUAAAAGAAAAGGAAAAAAAAUUAUUCAGCUAUCAUGCAAUUUUCUUUGACACAGUCAAAAUCUAACACUGCUAUUAUUUCCUAACCCGUAGAUGCAAUGAUCAACAAGGUUACUGAUACCCAAUAACUUGUACAGUAAUUAAUUUGAAACAUUACACACACAUGACGGCAUAAAGAAACAAGAGUUUAAUUUUUCUGAGUUGUUGAUGGAUAGGUUUAUCUUGUCACUCAUCAUGUUUUUUAAAAAAAAUUAAAGUAUAUCUUGUUUUGUUACUUUCUUCCUUUUCUUUUUGUUACUCAUCAUGUUUUUCUAAUAUUUUAUUAUGGAGGCAGAACUAAGAAUUUUAGGGGGGGUAUUGUUUUUUAUACAUAAAAAAAAUUAUAAAAGUGAAUUAAUUACUUUCACAUUUUCAAACCCUAAAAAACUUAAUUUAAUUUAAUUUACUAACACCCAUCCAAACCCCAACACAAAAAUUAUAAGAUAAAAUUCAUAAACACGAUGAAUAAGAAAUAUCUUAAGUUAUUGUUUGGUUGUGUAAUUACAUAUAACAAUAGCUUUUCUCCUUUGCGUGGUACUAUAUAAAAAAUUAAAGCGCUAACUAACAUAUAGCUGGAGAGAUACUCGUAGGGGAAAAAAAUAUCAUCCAGUAAUUUGUUUUCCUUUUGUAAUGGUCAACAAAUUUUUGGGGUAAGCUUGCAUUUCUAGUUUUUUUUUUUUUAGGGGGAUUUUUCAUUUUAUACAUUUCAACCACGCUUGAAUUUUUGCAUUCAGAGGACUUUUUCUCGUAUUUCUUUUGGAUUCAAAUCAAAUUAAUAACUCAAGAAACCAAAUGCAAUUAACUCUAAAACUUUUUUUAAGUACGAUAUAAUAGCAUUCAAAUCUUGUAAUUGCUAGCUCAAUUUAUUUGUUUGAAAUGUUAUGACCAAAAUAUGACUCAAAUUUCAGACUAGCUAUUGAAUUUGUUUCCAAAAAAAAAAAUCAAUUCAAUUGUAAAAUUAAAUAAAAAAUUAAAAUAUCUUAUUUAUUUUUGUAAUAUAUAUUUAUCAUUACAAGUUUAAUAUCAUUUUAAUAUUUGUCUAGAUAAUAAACUAGUGGUAUUCAAUUAUAUUAUUAUCAUCUCAAUGAAUUAUAAAAGAGUUUAUAAUGAUAAAAAAAUUUAAUUAAUAAUCUAGUAUUUUUUCGAGUAGUUUAAAUUAUCAAUCUUCAUAUAUAAAAAAGUUAAUUUAAAAAAAUAUUAUUAUGGAAGUAUGAUAAUUAUUAUUUUAAAAUAUUUUUUAAAAAUAUACUUAUUUUGAAAUAACAUUAAAUUAACAUGUUUUUGUCAAAGAAACAUAAAACUCUUGUUUUUUUAUGCCAUUAGCAGUGGUAAUAAACAGAAAGAUUGAUUAUCUGUUUUCAUUUUUACAUACGCCUUGCAAGAAAUAAAACACCAAAAGGUUCAAAUCUUCUGCAUAUUUUAAGCAAAGCUGCCAUCUGGCCUGGAUCAUCUUUUAAUCUACAAGAAAAGUUGGAAAGAUUGAGUUUCACCUAGCAAGUACCUGAAAUUGUAAUUGUUUUUCGCUUUCUUAGUCUUCAUGUAAGUGAUUUUCCUUCUUCCUUUUUGUUGCGAUGUGUUAUAAUUCGAUGUUAUGAGAACUGAUUUUUUCUUUUUUUGUGAUUUUCUUAAGUGGACUAGGAUUUAAAUGCCUUAUAUUUGGUUUAAAUUUGAUUUUCUUAUUGUCUGUGCACUGUUUCCUAGAAAAUGUUGUCUGGAAACUGUUCACUGAGAUGAUCAUGGGAUUUUAUUUUCUCAACUGAGAAUGAAUUGUAAUAUGCAAUUGAAUGCUAGGAAAACAUCAACUCUGCAGAAAUAAGUAAAUUAUUUGAUAAAGUAGUUGUUAAAUGGGAUGGGAAAAAAUUAAGUGAAGCGAGGGGGGAAGCAAUUGGAAAAUUGAUCUUCGAUGGUUAAAGAAUAUGUUAGAGAACAAUUUGCUAUUAUUGUAUAAUUUGUAUUAGUAGAUACUUAUUAUAAAGAUCAGCCAUUAAGUUGCGAAGAAUAUAAUGCAAAAGUGAAUUUUGGAAAUCUCUCUUAAGGUAGAACUUGCUGAUAAACUUUUACUUGUUUUGGUUUAUUUUUAGCUAAUAAUAAGAGUCAAAUUAUGUUGUCUGCAAGUCUUUAACUUUGACUUUAACAUACUAAUCCUUAGAAACUAAGUAAUAAUAAUCAACAAAUGUUAUACACAUACAUACAUGUGUGUGUGUGUAAUGUUUCAAAUUAAUUAUUGUAUAAGUUAUUGGGUAUCAGUAGCCUUGUUGAGCAUUGCAUUUACGGGUUAGGAAAUAAUAGCAGUGUUUGAUUUUGACUGUCAGAGAAAAUUGCAUGAUAGCUGAAUAAUUUUUUACUUUUCCUUUUAUUAAUAUCUAUCUGUUUUAGGGAUUGAGUCUUUAUCAAGAGCCAAAAGUAAAACAAAGGGCCUUGCUGGUAUGAGCAAGGUGUAAAACUGUUGUUAAAACAAAAGGAUUAAGAUUGAAAUUUUUGAUGGGUUGCUCAUUCCUCCUGACAAAGCAGUAAAUCGUUUAUUUAUUUAUUUAUUUCGUGGUGUUUUUGUAGAAGUAUAAUGCAAGUGUUUUACCAUGUGCAUUGACAACUUUUCUUCAAUUGGAGUUUUGGUUUGUAGGGUAGAUUUCAUAUUUACAAUCCAAGAAAAAACCCACUCCAGGCAAAGUAUAUAUCGAGACCAACAUGGCAAAAGCAAAAAAAAAAAAAAGAAAAAACUAACAACAACUAGGAAGUCAAAAAAAUGGGGAAGAAGCAAAAACACAACAGUGACAGUGACGAAGAAGAAAUAUUUUACCACCGCUACUCCUCCUCCACCACGUCAUCACAACACCCACCUUCCUCCACCAAACCCCAUGGUGGAUCUGGCGGUUUAGCAUCAUCAAAAUCAACCCUGUACGUAUCCAAUUUGGACUUCUCCCUUACAAACUCAAACCUCUACACACUCUUCUCCACCUUUGGCAAAGUAGCAUGUGUAACCGUCUUAAAAGACCGAACGACACGGAAAUCGCACGGCGUCGCAUUCAUCCAAUUCAUAACUCGCAGCGAUGCAGUCACCGCCGUUGAACAGAUGGACAAGAAGAUUCUCAACGGGAGAACUCUGUUGGCGUCGAUUGCAGCAGAUAAUGGUAGAGCGGCGAAGUUUAUUAAGAAGAGGGUUUAUAAGGAUAAGAGUAAGUGUUAUGAGUGUGGAGAAGAUGGACAUUUGAGUUACGAGUGUCCGAGGAAUCGAUUGGGGAUUAGAGAGAGGCCUGUGGUGAAGAGAGGGAGGGGAGGCGGUGGUGGAGGAGGUGGCAGCGGAAGGGGCGGGGGAGAUUGGGAGGAGGAGGAAGAAGAGGGUGAGUUUGAGGAGGAGAAGUGGGUUGUGGCGGUGGAUGGAGGGGUUGAGGAGAGGUUGUUGAAGGCGGGAGCGGUUGAGAAAAAGAAGGUGAAGGUUAAGAAAGCUAGUUACUUCAAUGAUGAGAGUGAUGAAGAGGAGUGAUUUCUAGGAUUCUUUUUGGAGGUAAUGUUGAUUUUCUUGUUAUUAAAGUAUGAGUUUUGAUCAUGUUGGUGAAAAAAUUUGGAAUAAGUUUUGAGUUCUAAGACUUGACUCUAUAUUUUUGAUGUGAUGUUUAGUGAAUGUGUUCUUCCUUCUGGUCAUUAGGCUUGUUUUGGCUUGCUUGAGUUUGCAUUUAAGUUGGUUGUACAGUUCCUAUGAUGAUUGGCAUGUUUUGCUUUGUUUGAGUUUGGGUUUUUCGGUUAUGUUAAUUUGUUUUAAUGGAAGUUGGGUGUUUGUUGGAUUGUGUAAUUAAUUUGAUGUUUGAUUAAUAUGUAAUCUUCCUGUUUUUUUGUUUCAGUUACCGUGUUUUGGUGAGGGAGGGAAGGAGGUUAUAGCAUGUUAUUACUGAUACUGGAGAUUAUCUUCUUAGAGUUUAAAAAGAACACUGGCUAGUGUUAGUGAAAAACAAAGGAUUCGAUUUGAUCAUCUGUGAUUGAUAUGGCAUUUGUUGCGUCUUAGGUUUUUUUGUUAUGACUUGUGGAUGACAGUUGUGUUUUGUUUUUUUGAUGGAGGAGCUUCUUUAUGCUGGUUAGUGCUACUGAAACUAGUUUUGAGAUUAAUGUUCUUGGAUUGUGAGGGAAAUGCUGGUGAAUCAGCUGUGACAUUUUCUCCCCUGAUAUUCCAUGGAUAGAUGUUCAUUUUGAUAACAUUAGUUUCCAAGACAUUUAGCAGGCGGGGAGAAAAAGUUUCCCCCUUUUUUUGUGAUUGCUAUUAAAUACAUGAGAAUUGAUGGUUUUUGCUCUUUGCUUAGAGCUUUCUACCAACUUUCUUGUCUGGCAAGAGGUUGGGGGUGGUUCGUUCUUGCUGCAAAGUUGGAUAGAUGUUCAUUUUGAUAACAUUAGUUUCCAAGACAUUUAGCAAGCGGGUAGAAAAAGUUUACCCUUUUUUUGCGACUGCUAUUAAAUACAUGAGAAUUGAUGGUUUCUGCUCUUUGCUUAAAGCUUUCUACCAACUUUCUUGUCUGGCAAAAGGUUGGGGGUGGUUCGUUCUUGCUGCAAAGUUGGAGGAGGUGGCGGUGGCGGUGGCGGAAGGGGCAAGGGAGAUUGGGAGGAGGAGGAGGAGGAGGAGGAGGGUGAGUUUGAGGAGGAGAAAUGGGUUGCGGCGGUGGAUGAAGGGGUGGAGAAAAAGAAGGUGAAGGUUAAGAAAGCUAGUUACUUCAGUGAUGAGAGUGAUGAAGAGGAGUGAUUUCUGGGAUUCUUUUUGGAGGUAAUGUUGAUUUUCUUGUUAUUAAAGUGAGUUUUGAUCAUGUUGGUGAAAAAAAUUGGAAUAAGUUUUGAGUUCUAAGAUUUGUCUCUAUAUUUUUUAUGUGAUGUUUAGUGAAUGUGUUGCUCUUCCUUCUGGUCAUUAGGGCUUGUUUUGGUUUGCUUGAGUUUGCAUUUAAGUUGGUUGUACAGUUCAGAUGAUGAUUGCCAUGUUUUGCUUUGUUUGAGUUUAGGUUUUUUGGUUAUGUUAAUUUGUUUUAAUGAAAGAUUGGGUGUUUGUUGGAUUGUGUAAUUGAUUUGAUGUUUGAUUAAUAUGUAAUCUUACUGUAUUUUUUUCAUCAAAGGCUCAUAUCAUCUUUAUUUUAUAAUUACAUGGAAGUUUCAUGUCAACAUAACUCCGUCAACUUCCGAUCUAAUAAUUCUACUCAAGAUUUUGAAUUAUAAAUAUGAAAUCUAUUCUACAAACCAAAACUCCAACUGAACAACAGUUGUCAAUGCACAUGGUAAAACACUUGCAUUAUACUUCUACAAAAACACCACAAAAUAAAUAAAUAAACGACUUACUGCUUUGUCAGGAGGAACGGGCAACCCAUCAAAAAUUCUCAUCUUAAUCCUUUUGCUUUAACAAUAGUUUUCCUAGCUCAUCCAGCAAGGCCCUUUGUUUUUCUUUUGGCUCUUGAUAAAGACUCAAUCCUUAAAACAAAUAGAUAUUAAUAAAAGGAAAAGAAAAAAAUCAUUCAGCUAUCAUGUAAUUUUCUCUGACACAGUCAAAAUCAAACACUGCUAUUAUUUCCUACAAAGUUGUCAAAAACGCUUUUUUGACACAACACGGAAUAUACAAUAUAAACUCGGAUCGUAAACUCAAAUCGUAAAAUCGCAAGUAAAAUAUUUUAACCAAAAUCGUAAAAUCGCAAGUAAAAUAUUUUAUCUAAUUUGCAAGAUCCAAUCAAGUAAUAUAUAAUAAUAUAACACAAUUAAAAUAAAAGUGAAAUUUAACUAAAUUGCAAGAUCUAGUCAUGUGGGUUAAAAUUGCUUCGUUUCUUUCCAGGUCACCGGUCUUUAUUCAGAUUCUAAAGAUGAACAAGUCCAAGUGGAUUGGAUAGAAAGAUGCUCUUAAUUAAUAACAUUUUGUUUUACCUGUUGAUAUAAUUAUGUAAAGCUGCACAUCACAAACUGCCUAACAUCAUCGUUCUAAUUGUUCAGUAAUUUUCAAUAGAAGUUUAGUCCUGAAAGUGUGUGACGGUUUUGCAUGAAACACAUAGCUAAACAACAAAGAAAUAUAAUCAUGAAACAACUGAUAAAAUGGGACCCUCUGAUUGUUUAGGAAUAUAAUCAGUAUCUUUGUUCUGUUUCCCAGUUUUUCAAAUAGCAUAUUGCUGGCUAGGGUCUGCAUCAUAUUUCUUGUUCCUCAGCUCGCCCAAUUAAAUUUUAUGUGAUGAAAGACUGUUGAGAAAUGACUGCUAAUUGGAUCAAAUUUCUGAUUUUUCUAUGCAGUGAUGAACUGGGUCGUUUUGUUGCUACUAAACAUCGCCUAAGAAGCCUUAAGAUGGAAGGGUGUUCUAAUCUGGGGGAAAAAUAUGCUUAUAUGCUUAUAGAGAAGACAACCCUAGCUAGUCAAAACACACACACACUGGUUUGAUUCUAGGUCAGCAGCAGCAGGAGCUUAAAUUGAACACGCAAACUAAAAGCUAUUGCUUUUGCUAUGCUAUGCUAUGUUAUCCAGUUAUCCUAGUGAUCAUCUUAUCAGUGUCAGCUAUAAAAAGGGAUCCAUGCAUCCAGCUGCUAAAAGCUUAUUUUGGAAUCUUUCUACCUUUCUGCUAAAUUACAUAACCCUGAUUAAGAAGGUAUAUACUAAUUAAUUAGAUAGCCAUGUCAGCUGGACUAGUUUCAUAUGAGAUUGUAUUUUGUAAUUAAAUCUUUCAUGCAAGAUUUCUAAAAACUGUUGUUGAAUAUAUGUGAUUGCAGGGAUGAUAACUUUUUCAUAUUCCUAAUUUUCCUCCUUUGUGCUAAACAGAUAAUUCAAUGGAAAGGGAUAAUGGAAUGUAGCAGAACGCAAGUUACUAAUGGGAUUUUUUAAAGAUUAUUUGUCAUAUAAAACAACAGAUAGAGACGAUUAACAACAACAUGUAUUUGCCAGAGAUGCUGGCGUGAUGUUUUACAAAUGAUAGGAGUCAUAUGACCAUUAACAACAACAACACUGUAUACAGCCAGAAAAAAAACAUGCCCUCUUCUGCAUAAUAAAAUGACAGAAAAGAUGAGAAUCUAACAAGCAAACCUGGUUAUAUAUUUGCGCUGCUAGUUAGUGGAGAGUCGAGACUUGAGAUUCUACGCUCCUGAAUGUGCUGAAUGCUGAUAUUAAUUUGUUAGGGCUGAGACUUGAGAUUUUGAGAAUUUGAGAUUUGGGGAAACCAGGAAAGGGGAAAGGGAAAAGGAGAAAAGGGUGGGUGGAGUGUCGGUGUCGGGCGCAAUGAAAUCAGGAGAUGGAGUGGAGUCAGCAGACUUUUAAUUUUCUAAGCAAACUCGUGCAAUCGGUCCG